RNAcentral lists this long non-coding RNA (1806 nucleotides) under Diabrotica virgifera virgifera (western corn rootworm). Its description in RNAcentral is "uncharacterized LOC114340182". Lineage: Eukaryota; Metazoa; Arthropoda; Insecta; Coleoptera; Chrysomelidae. The record is from RNAcentral.
UUUGCAUUUGCGAUAUCUCUCUAAUAAUAAUAGUGAUUUCAACUUUCAACAUGUGGAGAAAAAGGCAGAUUGAAACAUUAAUAGAGUUUUACAAAUCGAAUCAAUGAUCAAUGUUUGUAUGUGCCAAAGCACCCUCUCUAUAGAAUAGGAACGCACGAAUUAAAGUUUUGGAAGAAAUAAAGGCAGAAUUAGCCAAACUAGGUGUGGAAACAUGAAACAUCUUAUUAUGAAUGUAUAUGUAUGUGAUCGUCAAAAAAUUAUUUUUCAAAACAAGAUAGAGAAAGAGCUUUAAAAUCCCAAGGACCCUGCAAAAUGUUUAUUUGGCGUACUAGUCGAAUAAUAGUAUCUAAAAAUAUUGAAACUGUUUUAAAACACAUUAUAGGCAUGAGGAUGAUAUAGAGCACUUACAUAAAUACCAAAAUCAGAUAAAUAUCUCUUCAAAGUUUAUUUUGAGACUUUCUUCAAAAAUUAAACUUCAGACUGUUCAGGAUAGCAUAAUAGCAUAGGAGGCGAAUUAAAAAGAAUUAAUUUACUUACAAGAAAAGAUAUCACAAACAUUAAACUCUCUUAUGGCAUUGAUUUGAAAGAUGGGUAUAUGUACAAGGAUGAUGCAACCAGUGUUUAUUUUUGGGUUGAAUGCUUACAGACUCAUGUCCAAUAUUAUUUUACAAACAACAGGGCAUACUAAUGGAUAUUCAUUCUGAAUUUAACAUUUAUGAUUUUUGUCUUAUUUUCCUUAAUACUGUGCCAAAAGGAAAUGUUAAUUAAGUUUGGCAAAUCCUUUAUCGCAAUCGAUGGAACUCAUGGGCUCAAUUCCUAUGACUUUGAACUUAUGACAGUAUUAGUAAAAGAUGAAUUUGGGAAUGGAUUUUGUACUGCUUUCUUAUUUUCAAAUAGAAAAGAUACCUACUUUAAUUUACCAAUUUUUUUAAAUACAUGUCUGUGUUGGUAUUAUAUGUAUAGUCAAAUGUUUUCAUAUCAGGCAUAAGUGACACCUUUUACAAUGCCUCGUCAAAUGUAAUGGGUAUUGCUCCUAAUAGACUGUUAAGUGCCUGGCACAUAGAUAGGGCAUGGUAAGUAAAUCUUAAUAAAAUAUCUGAUUCUGAAAAAAAUCCUAUUAUAUAUACAAGAUGUAUUAAUGAUGGUUCAGAGAGUAUUAAUAGCUUUUUGGGUAGACUUCUAAGUGAUGCAGAUACAUACAAUUUUAAUAAGUAUUUCCAGUAGAACUACUGCAAUAACAUCCAACAAUGGGCCUAUUGUUAUAGGAAGGGGUUGUGGAAUUAAUACCAAUAUGACCAUUCAAAAUUUUCAUAAAAUUUUGGAUAAAAGGGUAUCCAUUAGUUGUUAUCAGUUAAGUUUAAAACUUGGCACUCAUGGAGAGCUAUACUCUAUACCAUAAUAUAUAAUAGGUAUAUUACAUCUCAUAUUGCUCACUCAUUACAAUAGUGAGCAAUAGAAGAUAUAACAUAUUAUAGUAUAAGUCUCUGUGCAUGACCAGAUUAACAUGUUUGGUGCCCAUCUCGAACAAGCUCCACUUGGCUGGUACCACAUACUUAAAUCAUUUAUUUAGUUACACAGUACUACUCACAUAACUUAUGUGUCGUCAGUACCUUCCAUAAAACCUUCGUGAUGCUACUCAUACUUCAUGGCCACUGAAUGUGUUAAAGCUUGUUAAUGUAGGAGAGUUAUACUAAAAUAUAUAUCUUAUAUUAUAUUGCCUUAAAUAGAAAAAAUAUCUUAUUUAAAUUGUAUCCAUGUAAGUUUUUAUUUAAUGAAAUAAACCUUUUAAUCAAAAAAGUGUUGUUU